GACAGAGGGUGCAAACGUUGCUCGGAAUUACUGGGCGUAAAGCGCGUGUAGGCGGGUCGGUAAGUCAGAUGUGAAAGCCCUGGGCUCAACCUAGGAACUGCAUUUGAAACUGCCGGUCUUGAGUGGUGGAGAGGGAAGCGGAAUUCCUGGUGUAGAGGUGAAAUUCGUAGAUAUCAGGAGGAACACCGGUGGCGAAGGCGGCUUCCUGGACACCUACUGACGCUGAGACGCGAAAGCGUGGGGAGCAAACAGG
Molecule: unclassified non-coding RNA, 253 nt
Filed under: uncultured Myxococcales bacterium
Lineage: Bacteria; Pseudomonadati; Myxococcota; Myxococcia; Myxococcales
Description: contains 16S-23S intergenic spacer region
Rfam family: Bacterial small subunit ribosomal RNA
Source: RNAcentral